This 468-nucleotide ribosomal RNA is filed under the name uncultured bacterium. Its description in RNAcentral is "partial 16S ribosomal RNA". It matches the Rfam family "Bacterial small subunit ribosomal RNA", at positions 28 to 507 of the family's 1533-position model. The record is from RNAcentral.
AACGAACGCUGGCGGCGUGCUUAACACAUGCAAGUCGAACGGAAAGUCCCUGCUUUGUUGGGCUCCUCGAGUGGCGAACGGGUGAGUAACACGUGAGUAACCUACCCUUGCCGUUAGGGUAACUUCAUGAAACUUGGUCUAAUACCGCCUAGGAUCUCCUGCUGCAUGGUGGGGGCUGGAAAGUUUCGGCGGUUGGUGAUGGACUCGCGGCUUAUCCGCUUGGUGGUGGGGUAGUGGCUUACCAAGGCUUUGACGGGUAGCCGGCCUGAGCGGGUGACCGGACACAUUGGGACGGGAAUACGGCACAGACCCCUACGGGAGGCAGCAGUGGGGAAGAGUGCACAAUGGGCGGAAGCCUGAUGUAGCAAAGCAGCGUGCGGGAUGACGGCCUUCGGGUUGUAAACCGAUUUCGCCUGUGACGAAGCGUGAGUGACGGUACUGGGUAAAGAAGCACCGGCUAACUACGUG